GCAGUCGCGUCGGCGGCGGCGACGCGACAGGAAACGGGAUCGUCGCCUACUCGCCUCCGCGGCUUCGUCUCAUCGACUCAUCGGAUCGAUCAGCCGAUGCCGUUGUUGCCUUCCUCUCUCAAGUUUCAGACUUGUCGCAUCGAUCGGCGACCGACUCCAAGUGCUUCACAGCUUCCAUCCUCUAGGUGCUUCACGGAUUCAAAACAGGUAAAUUGCCGCUAGCGAGUCUUUUUUAUUAACUUCGGCUCCUACUCUUAAUUUCUAAUUUCCUAAAUCCUAAUUAACUUUUGGCGUGGAUCAUUAGAGAUCGGUUCUCGCCUCCUCCGUUAACAAUCACAGUGUAGCAGUUCAACGGGACAUGACACAAGACUAGGUGAGUUAGACUGUUCGUCUAAUUGUGAAACAUUGACACAUGAUUUUCAAUUGAUAUCUAUGCGUAUCACUACAAUUUUAUUUUAUUCACCUUUUUUGUCUUGUGUUUCAAUAAUACAUAUUUGAGUCAUUAUGAGAAAACAUCAGUCUGGUUUUAGAAGUGCAAGAGAAAAGAAAGAGAAAAUAAUUUAAUCAUCAAAUCUUAUAAAGGUGGCAUGAACAAGUUUGUCAGAAAAGAAGCAUCACAAGUGUCAUC
RNAcentral lists this long non-coding RNA (628 nucleotides) under Triticum aestivum (bread wheat). RNAcentral's name for it is "long non-coding RNA (TAES_LNC022692)". The record is from RNAcentral. Lineage: Eukaryota; Viridiplantae; Streptophyta; Magnoliopsida; Poales; Poaceae.